Molecule: ribosomal RNA, 428 nt
Filed under: uncultured bacterium
Lineage: Bacteria
Description: partial 16S ribosomal RNA
Rfam family: Bacterial small subunit ribosomal RNA
Source: RNAcentral
GUGGGGAAUAUUGGGCAAUGGGGGAAACCCUGACCCAGCAACGCCGCGUGAAGGAAGAAGGCCCUCGGGUUGUAAACUUCUUUUAAGAGGGACGAAAGAAAUGACGGUACCUCUUGAAUAAGCCACGGCUAACUACGUGCCAGCAGCCGCGGUAAUACGUAGGUGGCGAGCGUUAUCCGGAUUUACUGGGUGUAAAGGGCGUGUAGGCGGGAGUGCAAGUCAGAUGUGAAAAUUAUGGGCUCAACCCAUAACCUGCAUUUGAAACUGUUCUUCUUGAGUGAUGGAGAGGCAGGCGGAAUUCCGUGUGUAGCGGUGAAAUGCGUAGAUAUACGGAGGAACACCAGUGGCGAAGGCGGCCUGCUGGACAUUAACUGACGCUGAGGCGCGAAAGCGUGGGGAGCAAACAGGAUUAGAAACCCGGGUAGUCC